CGAAGGCUUGUUGUGGUGGUUCGGUGCUCCUGGAGAGGGGAGCCCGGGGCAACUGCUGUCAGCAGACUGGAUUGAGUGUAUUCUAUUCCUCACCGAGAGAUGAAUGAGCUUCCAAAAUCUGAACAGCUUGGCGACCCAUCAAGCCGCUGGACAGGGACCGAGUUUGCCAGGCAGGCAGGCCGGCUGCCCUCCCUUCUUCUUCUUCAGGGGCUGUGUUCCUGGCUGGCUGGGCUGGGCGUCCAGGCCCAGCGUCCACCGAGUGCCCUAUGGUGACAUGGGCCUCACUCCUGCUGCUGCCUGGCCUUUCCUCCAGGACAUCUGCUCUGGCACCCAUCUUCGGAAACUCAUCUUCGGGAGAGGAUGCAAUGCCUACACCCCAGAGGAUGCAUGAGGACCCUCAGAGCUCCCGGUAUGACACAGGACCACGUGCCUUCAUGGACCAUGGACAGAACAUUUAUCUGUGACCCUCCUCCUGCAAGCCCGGAAGCCCACGUGACGGGCGUGCAUCUGUGGAGUGGGUCCGCUCCCACUGUGUUUGACAGUUGCGUGGUUGUC
This 555-nucleotide long non-coding RNA is filed under the name Macaca fascicularis (crab-eating macaque). Its description in RNAcentral is "lncRNA (ENSMFAG00000046557.2)". The record is from RNAcentral. Lineage: Eukaryota; Metazoa; Chordata; Mammalia; Primates; Cercopithecidae.